CAAUAGCGUAUAUUAAAGUUGUUGCAGUUAGAACGCUCGUAGUCGGAUUUCGGGGCGGGCCGACCGGUCUGCCGAUGGGUAUGCACUGGUCGGCGCGUCCUUCCUUCCGGAGACCGUCCCUACUCUUAACUGAGCGGGGGCGGGAGACGGGACUUUUACUUUGAAAAAAUCAGAGUGUUUCAAGCAGGCAGCUCGCUCUUGCAUGGAUUAGCAUGGGAUAAUGAAGUAGGACUUUGGUGCUAUUUUGUUGGUUUCGAACACCGAAGUAAUGAUGAGAAGGGACAGUCAGGGGCACUCGUAUUCCGCCGAGAGAGGUGAAAUUCUCAGACCAGCGGAAGACGAACCACUGCGAAAGCAUUUGCCAGGGAUGUUUUCACUGA
RNAcentral lists this ribosomal RNA (380 nucleotides) under uncultured eukaryote. RNAcentral's name for it is "partial 18S ribosomal RNA". It matches the Rfam family "Eukaryotic small subunit ribosomal RNA", at positions 592 to 976 of the family's 1831-position model. The record is from RNAcentral.